Molecule: long non-coding RNA, 244 nt
Filed under: Gossypium barbadense (sea-island cotton)
Lineage: Eukaryota; Viridiplantae; Streptophyta; Magnoliopsida; Malvales; Malvaceae
Description: long non-coding RNA (GBAR_LNC017994)
Source: RNAcentral
UAGUAUUAAUAAACUCUUUUAUUAACAAAAAGGAAAAAUUUUCAAAGGAGAAAACUAAAAAGCAAAACUAUUAGGUAAUUACAAGAUGUCUAUACAAUUGAUCUUUCCUCUCUAUUUAUAGAGGAGAUUAAAAAUUCUAUAUCAUAGUAUUUUGAAUCCCGAACAGUGCUUCUGAUAAGGAUUCGGUUUCAAAUGGAUGUGGCUACUUCCACGUCUUAUUUGUCUUCUUGUAUCUUUAAUUGCA